This 160-nucleotide ribosomal RNA is filed under the name Salinivibrio sp. IB872. Its description in RNAcentral is "partial 16S ribosomal RNA". It matches the Rfam family "Bacterial small subunit ribosomal RNA", at positions 1378 to 1533 of the family's 1533-position model. RNAcentral also lists the same sequence under 3 other names. The record is from RNAcentral. Lineage: Bacteria; Pseudomonadati; Pseudomonadota; Gammaproteobacteria; Vibrionales; Vibrionaceae.
GCCUUGUACACACCGCCCGUCACACCAUGGGAGUGGGCUGCACCAGAAGUAGAUAGCUUAACCUUCGGGAGGGCGUUUACCACGGUGUGGUUCAUGACUGGGGUGAAGUCGUAACAAGGUAGCCCUAGGGGAACCUGGGGCUGGAUCACCUCCUUACUGA